UAGGGAAUAUUGGGCAAUGGGUGAGAGCCUGACCCAGCCAUGCCGCGUGCCGGAAGACGGCCCUACGGGUUGUAAACGGCUUUUAUACGGGAACAAAUAGACCUUGCGAGGUCAGUUGAGGGUACCGUAUGAAUAAGCACCGGCUAACUCCGUGCCAGCAGCCGCGGUAAUACGGAGGGUGCAAGCGUUGUCCGGAUUUAUUGGGUUUAAAGGGUACGUAGGCGGGCUGUUAAGUCUGUGGUGAAAGCUCUCGGCUCAACCGGGAAAUUGCCAUGGAUACUGACAGUCUUGAGUACAGUAGAGGUGGGCGGAAUUCAUGGUGUAGCGGUGAAAUGCAUAGAUACCAUGAGGAACACCGAUAGGGAAGCCAGCUCACUGGACUGUAACUGACGCUGAGGUACGAAAGCGUGGGGAGCGAACAGGAUUAGAUACCCGGGUAGUCC
This 443-nucleotide ribosomal RNA is filed under the name uncultured prokaryote. Its description in RNAcentral is "bacterial SSU rRNA". It matches the Rfam family "Bacterial small subunit ribosomal RNA", at positions 355 to 796 of the family's 1533-position model. The record is from RNAcentral.